RNAcentral lists this ribosomal RNA (452 nucleotides) under uncultured bacterium. Its description in RNAcentral is "bacterial SSU rRNA". It matches the Rfam family "Bacterial small subunit ribosomal RNA", at positions 29 to 524 of the family's 1533-position model. The record is from RNAcentral.
AGCGAACGCUGGCGGCAGGCUUAACACAUGCAAGUCGAACGGGCGUAGCAAUACGUCAGUGGCAGACGGGUGAGUAACGCGUGGGAACGUACCUUUUGGUUCGGAACAACCCAGGGAAACUUGGGCUAAUACCGGAUAAGCCCUUACGGGGAAAGAUUUAUCGCCGAAAGAUCGGCCCGCGUCUGAUUAGCUAGUUGGUGAGGUAACGGCUCACCAAGGCGACGAUCAGUAGCUGGUCUGAGAGGAUGAUCAGCCACAUUGGGACUGAGACACGGCCCAAACUCCUACGGGAGGCAGCAGUGGGGAAUAUUGGACAAUGGGCGCAAGCCUGAUCCAGCCAUGCCGCGUGAGUGAUGAGGGCCCUAGGGUUGUAAAGCUCUUUUGUGCGGGAAGAUAAUGACGGUACCGCAAGAAUAAGCCCCGGCUAACUUCGUGCCAGCAGCCGCCGUAAU